RNAcentral lists this non-coding RNA (30 nucleotides) under Rattus norvegicus (Norway rat). Lineage: Eukaryota; Metazoa; Chordata; Mammalia; Rodentia; Muridae. The record is from RNAcentral.
UGGGUGCUAUGAUUUGAACUUUGUCCCUCU